UGGGUUACCUCACUCAGGAUGGUAUUUU
This 28-nucleotide non-coding RNA is filed under the name Mus musculus (house mouse). Lineage: Eukaryota; Metazoa; Chordata; Mammalia; Rodentia; Muridae. The record is from RNAcentral.